This 113-nucleotide small RNA is filed under the name Olea europaea subsp. europaea. It matches the Rfam family "Antisense RNA which regulates isiA expression", at positions 1 to 113 of the family's 187-position model. The record is from RNAcentral. Lineage: Eukaryota; Viridiplantae; Streptophyta; Magnoliopsida; Lamiales; Oleaceae.
AAUAACCAAAUAUAAUACUUGAGCUAAGGGUCAAGUUGGUAAUUUUUCUUACAUCUUCCCCUCCCGGAGCCCAAGUAUCAUAUACGCCCCCAAAAUAAAGAGGUUUUAGCAUU